Molecule: ribosomal RNA, 1372 nt
Filed under: uncultured bacterium
Lineage: Bacteria
Description: bacterial SSU rRNA
Rfam family: Bacterial small subunit ribosomal RNA
Source: RNAcentral
GAUGAACGCUGGCGGCGUGCCUAAUACAUGCAAGUCGAGCGAACGGACGAGAAGCUUGCUUCUCUGAUGUUAGCGGCGGACGGGUGAGUAACACGUGGAUAACCUACCUAUAAGACUGGGAUAACUUCGGGAAACCGGAGCUAAUACCGGAUAAUAUUUUGAACCGCAUGGUUCAAAAGUGAAAGACGGUCUUGCUGUCACUUAUAGAUGGAUCCGCGCUGCAUUAGCUAGUUGGUAAGGUAACGGCUUACCAAGGCAACGAUGCAUAGCCGACCUGAGAGGGUGAUCGGCCACACUGGAACUGAGACACGGUCCAGACUCCUACGGGAGGCAGCAGUAGGGAAUCUUCCGCAAUGGGCGAAAGCCUGACGGAGCAACGCCGCGUGAGUGAUGAAGGUCUUCGGAUCGUAAAACUCUGUUAUUAGGGAAGAACAUAUGUGUAAGUAACUGUGCACAUCUUGACGGUACCUAAUCAGAAAGCCACGGCUAACUACGUGCCAGCAGCCGCGGUAAUACGUAGGUGGCAAGCGUUAUCCGGAAUUAUUGGGCGUAAAGCGCGCGUAGGCGGUUUUUUAAGUCUGAUGUGAAAGCCCACGGCUCAACCGUGGAGGGUCAUUGGAAACUGGAAAACUUGAGUGCAGAAGAGGAAAGUGGAAUUCCAUGUGUAGCGGUGAAAUGCGCAGAGAUAUGGAGGAACACCAGUGGCGAAGGCGACUUUCUGGUCUGUAACUGACGCUGAUGUGCGAAAGCGUGGGGAUCAAACAGGAUUAGAUACCCUGGUAGUCCACGCCGUAAACGAUGAGUGCUAAGUGUUAGGGGGUUUCCGCCCCUUAGUGCUGCAGCUAACGCAUUAAGCACUCCGCCUGGGGAGUACGACCGCAAGGCUGAAACUCAAAGGAAUUGACGGGGACCCGCACAAGCGGUGGAGCAUGUGGUUUAAUUCGAAGCAACGCGAAGAACCUUACCAAAUCAUGACAUCCUUUGACAACUCUAGAGAUAGAGCCUUCCCCUUCGGGGGACAAAGUGACAGGUGGUGCAUGGUUGUCGUCAGCUCGUGUCGUGAGAUGUUGGGUUAAGUCCCGCAACGAGCGCAACCCUUAAGCUUAGUUGCCAUCAUUAAGUUGGGCACUCUAAGUUGACUGCCGGUGACAAACCGGAGGAAGGUGGGGAUGACGUCAAAUCAUCAUGCCCCUUAUGAUUUGGGCUACACACGUGCUACAAUGGACAAUACAAAGGGCAGCGAAACCGCGAGGUCAAGCAAAUCCCAUAAAGUUGUUCUCAGUUCGGAUUGUAGUCUGCAACUCGACUACAUGAAGCUGGAAUCGCUAGUAAUCGUAGAUCAGCAUGCUACGGUGAAUACGUUCCCGGGUCU